GCGCGAGUGGCGGAAUUGGCAGACGCGCUGGAUUUAGGUUCCAGUGUCUUCGGACGUGCGGGUUCAAGUCCCGCCUCGCGCACCA
Molecule: transfer RNA, 85 nt
Filed under: Demequina sp. TMPB413
Lineage: Bacteria; Bacillati; Actinomycetota; Actinomycetes; Micrococcales; Demequinaceae
Also listed under: 1 other name
Description: tRNA-Leu
Rfam family: tRNA
About the family: Transfer RNA (tRNA) molecules are approximately 80 nucleotides in length.
Source: RNAcentral